Erpetoichthys calabaricus (reedfish) is the source of this 403-nucleotide long non-coding RNA. RefSeq lists it as uncharacterized. NCBI's taxonomy places the organism in Eukaryota, Metazoa, Chordata, Cladistia, Polypteriformes, Polypteridae. The transcript has 2 exons. The record is from RefSeq and is a predicted model, not a curated record.
UUAUUAUAAUUACACAAAAUUCCAUACAAAUAAAUCAAUUUUUACAAAAAUAGGAUCGAAAACAAAUCAAUCUUUACCUUUAAAUCUCCAUCUCCCAAAGCCCUUCUCCGUUCUUCCAACUUCCUCUUCAUUUCCUCUUUUUUUAGGGAUAUUCAAUUAAGAGUUAAUGAUACAAAGAAGCAGUAAAUAAUAUAUUAGGGUAAAUUAAUUUGGUUGGCCAUGGAAUGGCACUGUAUUGUAUCAGGAUUGAACUGAUUGUUAUUUUGAGAGGCAACUAUUACAUUUGAAGUUUCUAAGCGGUCAGAAAUGAAAUGCUGGUACACAGCAAGAAGGUCAGUAAUCAGAGUCCAAAAAGGCAAAAAAAAAAAACAAACUAAAAGACAAAACAAAUCCAGAAACCUUU